RNAcentral lists this non-coding RNA (29 nucleotides) under Mus musculus (house mouse). Lineage: Eukaryota; Metazoa; Chordata; Mammalia; Rodentia; Muridae. The record is from RNAcentral.
UGCCUCCUUGACUCGUGCUGCUUUCUUUU